This is a long non-coding RNA of Xenopus laevis (African clawed frog), 3161 nucleotides long. RefSeq lists it as uncharacterized. The record is from RefSeq and is a predicted model, not a curated record. Lineage: Eukaryota; Metazoa; Chordata; Amphibia; Anura; Pipidae. The transcript is spliced from 3 exons.
CCCAUGUCUCACUGAGACACAUUCAGUUACAUUGAGAAGGAAAAACAGCAGCCUGCUAGAGUUUUAAAAAGCAGCAGAGCAAACACUAAUGGAAAUUACGCCUCUGAGGAAGCUGACCACGUACAGCGAAACGCGUUAGGCACAGUUUGGGGGACACCAGAGCCCAGAAGCAAGGCAUCACGAGGGAAUCUGGAGUGAGUAAGCAGAACUACUACUCGCGACCCCACAUGGACUUUUUAUUGGACUGAAUGCGCAAAAACCCGUCAGGGUAAAUCCCAAUGUAAUACACCAGCAUUUAUUGCAUCAUAGGGUGCAAGCUAACCUCACUACUGUACUGUGGAUCUGGAUGGAGCAGUGGACAGUUAGAAGAACCAAGAGAGGAACCUUUUAUUUACAAGAGAGGCUUUCUCACAUGAGAUUCAAAGACAAAGCUGGAUCAGUCUUGGAUAAUUAAACUACCGUCUCGUAAACCUGGAACAUAUCUAAUAAUAAGCAUAUUUUAUCCUAAGAUGUUGUGAUUAGCAAAAAUAUAAAGCCAAAGUGCUGAGGACAGUAAAUAAGCCACAGAGAAGUAAAAGUAACCAAUGUUGGCUUGCUAUAAAUCCUGCAGUUUCCUUGGAAACAAAAAUAAUAAACCAUAAACAUUGUGCUGAAGAGCAGGAGAAUAUUCUCUGUAUUAACAAAGCAGUGUGUCAGCCUUUCAAAUUAUAUCCAAUACAUUAUUGUCAUAAAGUGCCUACAUCUUUUAGAAGCCCCAAAAAUGCACAACUAGAUCAUCAGAUACAGCUGUAGUAGGUUCAAACCAACCCAAUUUAGCACCAAUCGAGACAAUCACCUCCUGCUCAGCCAGUCAGAUGUUUUCAUUUCAUCCAAAUAUUACAGUACUAAAGAAAGAUAAAAAGGUGUAAGACGUCCUCAAGAUGGAAAGAGAAAGUAUAGAGAGGAAGACCACCUGGAUGCACCCAAAGCAGUGUGCUUUGUUUCCAUUUGUUUUACUCUUCCAAGGGCAACUAAUUACAAAAUAGAACUUCUGAAGAAUAAAUGUAAUGUAAAUUGCUCAUAAUUGUUUUACACAUAAAGUUCAUUAAAAGCAGAAAGGAUUUAGGUUCCAUACUCUCUGGAGCCAACACAGGAGCGUCACAUUUUGCUUCAGAUGGAUAUAUAUUGACCCUGUAAGAUAGUUCAUUUUCUCAAAGCAAGCCUGCACUGGCAAUCUGAAGAGCUGCAGUAAGAUGCCACCAAGUCAAGUGGUCAUGUGGGGGACAGUUUGGGCCUCUGUGCACCUGAACUGUCAGGGCCUGUUUUGAAUCUCAGUGCAGACCGGCCUAAAAGGAACUAAAGCACAACUAAGGAGUGUACUACUAGUUGAUACCUAUCAAACACCCUAAAGAGAAAUUUUGGAGCAAAAAUCCAAGAACCCAAAAGAGCAGGUGGCAAGGACAGGUCCCCGGAGUCGGGGCCGCAAAGGAGGAAGGCAAUUUGCAAAGUAGAAAAAUAUAUAAUUCUCUUUUUGCUGCAUUUGUGCACACUUUCAUUCGACACAGGGAAUUAUUGGGGUAUACAACUUAAAUUGCGGCUGUGUUCUCUACUGAACCUAUCCAGACUAGCAAUUAUAAGCACUCGGGGAUGGCACCCUUGAGGGAUUUGGGGUUUUAUUGUCCUUUUAAAGUCAAGACAUAUCCUUUUUCAGAGAUUCCUGAUAACCUACUACAUUCCUAUAAGGGCCACUAGGGGCAUUUAACAACAGAAAGGCAAUGGUCAAAGUGCAACAAACAGGAACAAUGACCCUUUACCAAUGUUAUGACUUUGGGAAACAAACACAAUGAUUCCUAGGAUGUGCCUAGGGCAGCAGAGAAUAUUUUCCAAUUUUUACUAUAUAAUAACUGGUACAGUUGCAAAAUCUUGUUUUCUGGGUCAUUUCGAUGCUACCCAGGAAUUAGAUGAGUGAGGAAAUGCAAAUAGUUGCCCAAGUCUCCACAGCUUUGGUAAUGACAUUAUUAUCAUACUGUAUAAUUAUGUUACUAAAUUACUUGUGCACUGAUAUCAUGUGGUUGCAUGGGGGUCUAUUUUGCAUUAGAAUGGCCUUUUGAGUAAGUUACACAAUGCAAUGGAUCCACCUGCAUGUCAACAUUGAUAUUGUGAGAUGGAACAGAAUGGAAGAAUAAACCAACAUAAACGGAUCACUGUAAAGUUUACCUUGAAUAAAGAGCUUGCACUUGGUUUCUACCCAAAAUGUGUCCCCAAGCUGGGUGAAAAUAGGGGGCAGCAUAUCCUACAGCCUGCUCUAUCACAAAGCUGCAUGCUGCUUUAUUUCAGAUGGGCACAAACAGAAAUGUCAAAUUUCUAAAACAGGCAACAGCAGUUCUGUUAGAAAAACGGUUCUGCUCUAGAUUUAGCAGUAAUUGAUUUUCCACCAUUUGCUAUUCCCGGACUCCAACAGGCUGCAGUCAUUUGCAGCUGCCACUGAGAAGACUUAUUAAAAGUGAUAAGGCUUUCUGCAGGGAAUAGUUAAUACUCCUUACAGAACCCUGCCACGGUUGUUUAACCCUUUGGCAACCUUAGCAGGUGCACAGCACAUAACAAUUGAAAUAGGUUGGCCUACGACUGAAAGUUCAGUUUCUUCCCAGUCUGCAUUGCAAAAAAUGAACUAGAGAGUUGGCAGACUGUGCAUUUGCUGGGGAACCCUAUGGGACACUGAGAAAUAAGCAGUUUCAUGAAAUAUGUCUUAUUACAUAUGAUUAGAGGAGCCCUAAAUAAUUUUCAUACUUCUCAUUUCAAGUAGAAAAUGUUGCACAAAUACACAAUAUAAAAUACAUUCUCUGUAGUUGUCUGAUACUAUGGAAUAGUGUUAUCUGAUUGGUCUGAUGGGCAGGCAUGUGAUUUUUGGGUAAAUGGAAAGCAGAUUGGAAACAAGCACCUCUAGAUACUGUAGAUGUUUUGUCCUUUGGCACAAUCUGCUGCUGAGAACUAUGAACUUCCAUCUCAUAGACGAGGAGGUGAUCCCUUUAAAGUUGAGAUGUAUUUGGUCAUUUUAUGUCCAUGAAAAAACAAAGAACACAAAAAAAAAACAGACAGGCAAACAAUCAUGUUUCUCUAAAUAUAAGUUAUGUAUUUGACAGUAAGUAUUCUGACUUUUGCAGUAAAUUAUUCUCCAGCAUUAA